Molecule: RNA transcript, 6843 nt
Organism: Chenopodium quinoa (quinoa)
Lineage: Eukaryota; Viridiplantae; Streptophyta; Magnoliopsida; Caryophyllales; Amaranthaceae
Exons: 6
Source: RefSeq, a predicted model, not a curated record
UUUGCAAUCAAUUUUGUAGUAGUUGCUAUGCGGUUGCUAAUCUGCAACGCUCUUAUAAUUUUUUGCGACUAAAUUGUAGUUGCUAGGGUCUAUAAUUUGAAACCAUCUUUUUUAAAAAAAUUGCGACCAUUAUUGCAACUAACACGGUAAUCGCUACCAUUAAUUUUUUAAUAAAGAAAUAAAAAAAAAACCCUUAGUAUAAUAAGUUUUUGCCGCCAAAUAACAAGAACUAUCACUCCUUAUUUUCAUAAUCGCAGUAUAUACUCUUCUUCCUUAAAUAAAAAAAUAAAUAACAAAGGCUUCCAUUGCGAAUUUCAGAACCAAGUUCAGAACUUCAGAACGAACCUGUUGCCGUCGUCUUCAUCUGCCGCCCCUGCGCCACCACAUCUCCUCUCAGGAGAAUGGUAGAAAGACGUUAGAUUGGAAAAGGAGAAGUCAAAAGAUGGCAAUUUGAAGAGGAGAAUUAAUCAGAGGAAAUGAAUGAGGCAAACGAAGGUGAAGAGGCGGCUGAAUUUGUCCUCUCUCCGUUUUUUCCUCGACUCUUUCACAGUUUCUCUCUCUUCGAAACGAACAUCAAUCUCUUCGACCUCUCAACACGAAUAUCCUCAAAUCUCGAGUAUUUGAAAAUUCCAAAAUGUCAUCUGUAUCAUAUCCAACCCCUUUGCAUGGAAAAGCAACAAAAGAAAAGAAAGACCCUUUACAGAAGAAGACAUCUGAAUCUUCUAACUCUGAGGGCAAAGAAAAAUUCACUUUCUACACGCAAAAUGGACGUGUCGUUACUUGCCCUUAUACUACUACUGUUAACAAAGAUGGACUCAUCGUCAAUUCUUGCUCUUCCAUGCCUAAUAAGUACUAUGAAUUCAGCAAUUUACCAGAAUAUAACACUACAGUUCCAGGCUGUUGCACUGCUGUUUUCAAGGGAAAUCCAGUAACGUCUAUUCCUUGGUGCGGUCCAAUGUCGCUUCCAGUUCCCGUUGAAUGUAAGCCAAAUUUUGUUUUGCUGACUGAUUCUGAUGACAUUCUUGUUUCGGUUGCCAACAAUGUCGAUCGUAAAUACAACUGCCUCGUGGUGAGGGGCACCGUUGAUACUGCCACUUGCUUUUUUCUGAGGCACAUUAAGAAGGAGCUGGGCAACCAAAUUCCAAUCCUUGCACUGGUGGAUUAUGAUCCCAUGUCUUUGAAGCUUCUAUCCUUGUACGUGAAAUGGACUAGUGAGAAGAUGCCAUUGGAGUUAGCUUGCGUUGAUCUUGACAUUAAAUGGUUGGGGCUCAGGCGGAUCCAUUUAGACGUUGCUGAUAAUGCUUUAGAACCUGAGGAUCUCAAGAAGCUUGAGUUCCAUGGAUGAGGAUGAUUUAGCUGCUGCAAAAGAACUAUUUUUUAAUGCAAAUUUUGUGAACAAGUCCCCAGAGAGGGUUGCGGAGGUGAGGAGGAUGAUUGAUAGGAAGUUGAUGAUCUUGGUGGUUCAUCUUGAUACUGUUGAUUUUCUUCUCAAGUAUCUCCCUACUGUGAUUGAAGGCUAGAAGUGGAUUUAGGAAGCCUAUCACCUGGCUCUGUUCUGCUUAGAUGUGUUAGCUGCCCUUGCUCUGUCAUUGUCAUAAUUUUUGUUUAGGGCGUGUUUAGAGGAGAUGAUUUACUAUAUACUACUUGUAGUUAUUAAGCUUCGCUAUUCUAAUUAGAAUGUUUUAUUUAUGUUUGUCGUGAAUUAUACUUGUAUAUAAUAUGCUUGUCAAACAAAAUGAAAAUAUUCCUUGGAGCGCUGACUCAUCAUCUUAUCCGCUGACCAGGUUAGAGAUUGUUAUUCCAUUCGCUAGAUUUCAGGGAUGCUCCAUAACGAACGAACUCCUCUGUAAUUGAAUAGUUUUAUUUUAUUUAUAUAUUUUUUUUUUUAAUUUUUUGAGACAUCAAGUAGGCACAAAACAAUGUGCCUCAGUGAUACUUUAAUUGAAUAGAUUUUUUUUUUUUUUUUUUUCUUUUUAAUGAUGUUUAAUUACAAUUUUUUUCGAUGUUGUGCAGCUUAUAUAUCCUUUUUUGGAGCUUGAUAUGAAGUACUUUAAUCUCGGUCUCCCAAAUCGUGAUGCCACCAAUGACAAAGUCACAAUCGAAAGUGCAGAAGCUACAUUAAAGUAUGAUGUGGGUAUGAUGUUGAAUUGAUGGGCAAUUCGUUUGGUUGCUCUGCCUCGGGUAAGCGACUGUUGUCAGCGACAAGAGACGGAGGGUCAUGGUGUGGGUAUGUUUUUAUUUUUUAUUUUAUUUAGUUAUUUAUCUAUUUUUUAUGUAAUUUCUGUACAAAUUUUCCAGAAGUUUGCAGCACCGAAUUUUAGUUUAUACGACAUUAUUCGACUUCGAAUAGUACAAUUACUUAAUCAGCUUCUUUUACAGUUAUUAUUAAUGCUGGAAACUUUACAGAAUAUUUAAAAGUGUCCAAAAUAAUUGUAAGGGAAGGUGGAAAAAUUAAUUUGAGGGGCACAUGCAAGGGAACAACAAUGUCACAAUCUGAAUUGAUGAAAGUGUGAAAUUGAAGGAUGUUUAAUAAUUAAUUAAUCUAUUUAAUUGUAAAUAUAUAAUUUAGAAAUGGAAGUUUUGCAAGAGAACAACAGUCCCACCUUUUCAAUCCUCUUGUUCAGUAUAUAAUUUCCAUGUACAUCAUUCUUGUGAAGUAUAAGAAAAAUAAAGGUGGGUGAAUUUGAAGUUUGGGCGUUUCUUCAAUUUGGGGCUCAAAUUGAAGAAAGAGAGAAAUUAUGAAAAUCUGGAUUUGGGAUUAAAGUUGCAAGAGAUUUCCUGAAACUUUAAGUAGGGAGAGUGAUGAGGGACAACAAAAACAUGAAUUAUUGGAUGUAACCAAGCUCAAUUUAUCCAUCUUCUUCUUUUUUCUGGUUAUUUCUAGGUUUCAUUCAUUUUUGUGAUUAUUCUUACUCUAGUGUCAAAUUUUCCUACUCUAUAACUUUUUUCUCCAAUAUUUAUGUUUUAUAUUUAUAUAAUCUAACAACAGAAUUUUACAGAUUUGAGCAUCUGGGAUUUGCAAUUAGUUUACCAUUAUCUUGUUUGAUUAAUCAAAUGUUUGUUUUUGGUUUAUUUCACAAGCUAAUACCCUGUACAAAUUGAUUUACCAGAUUUCAGCUUUUAACUGAACUUGAAUGGCUUGUAUAUCAGAACUCAGCAAUCCUAACAUUGUACAAUAAUGUGUUUACAUAGUUAUUUAAUGUUUAGUGCAUUGUGACCUUCAGCUUAUAUUCUAUUUGUUAUGCUCUUCUUGGGUGUUGAUUAUAAUUUGAGGUUGUUGCUUGGAAAUUCAGUUUGUAGAGGUUUUGGGGCUUAACAUUAUAGUUUGAUUAUUGGUUGUUCACAAGGUUUGGUGUCUUUGCAAGUUGAUUAUGUGCAUUGGGGUUUAAUACUCGUUAGACAACUACUUACUGCUGCAUAAUAUAUUAAUUUGGAACCUGGAAUUUAUUCGAGGAAUACCCUUCUUAGUCAUUGCCCACCAGGCCACCCAAGCACUUCUCUUGGCACCUUGUUAUAAGCCUUCUCCAAGUUAAUGAUAAUCAUGUGAACCUUUUUCCCUCGCCCUAUAAUACUCCAUUAUUUGCCUUAUCAAAUGUACAACUUCCAUGGUAGACCGCCCCGUCAUAAACCCAUUUUGGUUAUGUGAGAUCCUUGUACAUGUCCUCAAUUUAAAGUCUAUCACUCUCUCCCAUAGUUUCAUGGUGUGACUCAUGAGCUUUAUUCCUCGAUAGUUUGAGCCAUCUUGAGCAUAACCUUUGUUCUUACAAAUUGGUUUUAACGUGCUUUUCUUCCAAUCAUGUGGCAUAACACUGCUUAAAAUUAUUAGUACCAUAAUUUUGCUUAAAAUUUUUCUUCAAAAACAAAAUGCCAUAAAAUUUUUUGUUUUUUCUCUUCUAUGCCACUGGGCAGUCUUCCUUGAAAUUAUUUGUUAGGGUUUUAUCUUACAAGAAUUUUCAAAUGUUGAACAGAUUGAGAUGAAUUGUUAUUUUUGGCACAAUCCAAACAGAUCGAGGGCCAUUAUGGCCUUUUUUCAGGGACAAAUGGAUUGUCAAUGUUUUAUUAAUUUAAUUAUAAAUUACUAUUCCCUUCUAUUGCUAGCUAGCUAAGUAGUCAUCAGAUGGUUUUUGUUGAAAUAUAUGUAGAUAUCAGAACACCUUCAUGAGGCUUUUGUUUACCUAGAUAUGGGAUGCACAGAGAGUUUCAAAUUUAUUGGUGCAUUCUCUUUGUUAUUGGAAUAUAUUAUGGAGCAGGAGCUGUUUGUUGCUACGUUGUAUACUUGAAUCUGGUAAGGGUGAGAUAAUUUGUUUAUCUGCUGAUCACAGGCUUGAGAGCAAUGAGGAAGAGUAAGUUGUAGGCACAACAUAGUUCUAUUAGUCACCUUAAUUGUGUGCUACUGUUGAGGUUAACAUUUUAAUUAACUAUUAAUAAGGAGAGAUCGUGUUACAGCCUGUGGAGGUGAAGUUGGUCGGCUUAAUACUAGUGGUGGAACAGAGGUAACUUUUUUUUUCUUUUUCUUUUUCUUGGAAACCUAUUCUUCUCUCUCUUUUGAUUUUGCACGUUAUUCACUGCAUCUUUUUGCUUGGAUUGAUAUAGUUUUGUAAAUGAAUCUUUACUCACUGUAAUCCAUCUUGUGGCCUUAUAUGUCAAAAACUCAAGACUUAUUUUGAAAUUUCUGAUGUAUGUAUUUGAGAUUAAUAGUUUUCUAUUUGUUUGUUUGGGUAUGCUUGUGUUAAUGCACUUUGUAGUUGGUAUAAUGACAAUCCAAAUAAACAUAAAAAAUAAUUUGGCAGAGCCAUUGUCCCUUUUUUUUUUUUUUUUUUUUUUUUUUUUUUUUUUUUUUGCUAUAGUUAUUUUAGAUUUUGAAAAGUAUGAUAUGAAGUGUUUUAGAUAGAUUGAUACUUAUAUACCAUUAAAAUUUUGGAGAGAUUUGGUGAAAACAUAUUCCUCUCUUAGAAUAUAAGAUGUUAGUGUCCAGGAUUUCUUAUUAUAUAAGAUGUUAGUGUCUAGGUUUUGUCCAAAAUAGGUUUCUAUGGAAAAAAUGAAGGGUAGGGAUACUUCUGAACUUGAGUUGUGAAUCAAUGUGCUUAGGUACCCACUUAAUUAUUUCUUUUACCUGUAAACUGUUUAUCUACAUUUUAAAUUGUGGUUGUUGAAUGAAAAGAUGAAAAAGUUAAUGUAAAUCUGCAGUAAUAAAGGGAUACAAGUGCUGGAUAUCAUCUGCUCAUAAUCCUGUAUAGCUUGGGAAGACAAAAUGAUUAAAUGGAUGGGCGACAUCAUUUUAUAACUGACCUUAAAAAAUGCACAUUCAAUUUUUUGGUCUACCCCAUUGGUUUCAAUCAUUUUGGCUGGACUUUGCAGUUAAUAUAUGCUGAAUGUAUGCCUAGGGCUUAUUGGCCCCUAUCCGGAUGCCUCUUCUUUAGAGUAAAUUCCAGUGAAGUGGAUGAAGUACUAAAAUCUGGAGCAUAAUGUGCACCAGAUUUUAUCUUAUGCAUUAUGCAUAAUUUUUAAUUAUUUUUCCCUCAGCUUCACUUCUUUUUUUUUCUUUCUAUUUUGUUACUAAUUGGAGCAUGUUAUUCAAUGCUUAUAAAGAUUGGUCCUUUGAGGUGUUGGCCUGGUGGCCUUUGUCUAUCUCGAUUUCUUGGAGAUAUGGAUGUUGGCGAAUUUAAAGUUCCAGUUCCUUAUGUGAAACAAGUGAGGGUGGCAAAGCUCAAUACCCCAAAACAGUACUACUUCAGAUUUCAUGACCACAAGUAUGCCACGGUCUUCUAGACUAAUAUGGAAACGCCAUCUCUCUGCCUGGUAAUUAAAGAUUGUUAAUCAAGGAAGACUUUGAUUUCCUAUAGAAAUUGAGCUCCAUAUGGGAUUUAAAUAAUGUUUGGUGCAUGCACGAACAUUAAUUGGAAACCCCACAAAUGCUUCCUAAGUUUUGCUUGCAGAUUCUUCUCAUAGGGCCAAAGUAUGCCAGAGGGGGUGUUAUUCACUUUAGCAAAGCUCCUGGGGUUCCAAGCAGUCACACACUCACACUAAGCCCAUUGUGUGAUCACAUGGGGUAGGAAAUUUGGAAAAGCUAUUUGGUUUUCCAGCUGCAGCAAUUUGAUGCAGAUGACUCUGACCUAGAGGUGGCACCACCCUGGGUUUUCCUCUGCACCAUGCAUCCUCAUCCUCCUAAAGUUGGCCUUUUAUGAUGCACCUCUCUCUCUCUCUCUCUCUCCAUUGAAGCACAAACUCUGAAUCCUCCAUUGAAGCAACUUUUGAACUUUCUCCUCUGUGGAAGUAACUUCUGAGUUUUUCAGGAUAACACACCACCGCUUUGACGCUAGAAGUAAAUGGAGUAGUUUUGAACGUUAUGGUGAAGAGGAAAGAAGAAAAGUCUAUUGCAAGCAAAAGGACGAGGAGUUGGGUCAUUACUGGAGAGGGUCUGUGACUGGACUGAUGUUAGAUUUGACAUGGACACUAGAAAUUGAGUGUAUCUCGGCAGCAUGUCAAGUUUUGUGAUGAGAAUGUGUCUUUGUGUAUGUGCGAAAGGUCCUCUUAUUUAUUUUGGAUUCCUUGCAUCCUAUUAUAGCUUUGAUUAGAUCUUCAUUUUCGAAUAAUGAUAGUCUCAUUAGAAUCUAGAUGGUAAAAAACAUGAUUUCCAAUGUGAAGACUUUAAACUAAUAUCAUUGAAGUCAGUUGCUCAAGCAAUUUGUCUUGUGAGUAGUGUUUACUGUUAUGAUCAUAUAUUUACUCAAGAUGUGUCUUUUUGGUACUUUGAAAUACAUGUAAUUCAUAAGUCAUUAUUGCAUUGUACUCCUGACUCUUAAAUUUGCAAACUGCUAUAAAAUUGACACUUGUUAUUGAUAA